This 253-nucleotide ribosomal RNA is filed under the name uncultured bacterium. RNAcentral's name for it is "partial 16S ribosomal RNA". It matches the Rfam family "Bacterial small subunit ribosomal RNA", at positions 524 to 776 of the family's 1533-position model. The record is from RNAcentral.
UACGGAGGGAGCUAGCGUUGUUCGGAAUUACUGGGCGUAAAGCGCACGUAGGCGGCUUUUUAAGUCAGGGGUGAAAUCCCACGGCUCAACCGUGGAAGUGCACUCGAAACUGCGUAGCUAGAGUCCUGGAGAGGAAGGUGGAAUGCUUGGUGUAGAGGUGAAAUUCGUAGAUAUCAAGCGGAACACCGGUGGCGAAGGCGGCCUUCUGGACAGUGACUGACGCUGAGACGCGAAAGCGUGGGGAGCAAACAGG